RNAcentral lists this long non-coding RNA (453 nucleotides) under Mytilus galloprovincialis (Mediterranean mussel). The record is from RNAcentral. Lineage: Eukaryota; Metazoa; Mollusca; Bivalvia; Mytilida; Mytilidae.
GCUUGUUUUAGGGAUGGCAACUCAGCUAUCCAGUUGGAUUUUUUUUCAAUUUUUUGCCAAACUACAUCUUGUGAAAUUUCCCCAUUUUCAUUUAAAAUAUCAUUUAUAUAAAUAUAAGUACCUUUUAUCCAAUUUUUGAAAAAAAAAAUUUGUUAUUAAAUUUAAUGUAUUUAUUCCCCCAAAUAAUUUGUUUUCUAAUAUCGUAAAAGGUUUUUGGUAUAUCUGUCUGUCCUCCUCCUAAUUUCAUCCAGCUUUUUAAUACAUUUUUAUAAAAUUUUGGAAUAUUAGGUAGAUAUUGAUCAACUUUAUUAUAAUCCAUAUUCAUAUAAACUGCUAGGCAAUUUUUUUCCUGAGCAUUGUAAAUAAUUUAAAGGUAUAAGUUGCCAUCUGGCCAUAUCUGUAUUUAAGAUUCUACCUAUCCAUGAUGCUUUAAGUGAUUCAAAGUGACUUUCA